GUGCUCGCUUGGGCAGCACAUAUACUAAAAUUGGAACAAAAC
Molecule: small nuclear RNA, 42 nt
Filed under: Cervus elaphus hippelaphus
Lineage: Eukaryota; Metazoa; Chordata; Mammalia; Artiodactyla; Cervidae
Source: RNAcentral